GCGGGAGUACCAAAGUGGUCAAAUGGGCAAGGUUCAGGGCCUUGUUGCCUCGUGCAUUCGCAGGUUCGAAUCCUGUCUCCCGCA
Molecule: transfer RNA, 84 nt
Filed under: Candidatus Woesearchaeota archaeon
Lineage: Archaea; Nanobdellati; Candidatus Woesearchaeota
Description: tRNA-Leu
Rfam family: tRNA
About the family: Transfer RNA (tRNA) molecules are approximately 80 nucleotides in length. Their secondary structure includes four short double-helical elements and three loops (D, anti-codon, and T loops). Further hydrogen bonds mediate the characteristic L-shaped molecular structure. tRNAs have two regions of fundamental functional importance: the anti-codon, which is responsible for specific mRNA codon recognition, and the 3' end, to which the tRNAs corresponding amino acid is attached (by aminoacyl-tRNA synthetases). tRNAs cope with the degeneracy of the genetic code in two manners: having more than one tRNA (with a specific anti-codon) for a particular amino acid; and 'wobble' base-pairing, i.e. permitting non-standard base-pairing at the 3rd anti-codon position.
Source: RNAcentral